RNAcentral lists this ribosomal RNA (497 nucleotides) under uncultured bacterium. RNAcentral describes it as "partial 16S ribosomal RNA". It matches the Rfam family "Bacterial small subunit ribosomal RNA", at positions 28 to 507 of the family's 1533-position model. The record is from RNAcentral.
GAUGAACGCUGGCGGCGUGCCUAAUACAUGCAAGUCGAACGCUGAAGCUUGGUGCUUGCCCCGAGCGGAUGAGUUGCGAACGGGUGAGUAACGCGUAGGUAACCUGCCUCUUAGCGGGGGAUAACUAUUGGAAACGAUAGCUAAUACCGCAUAAAAGUCGAUAUCGCAUGAUAUUGAUUUGAAAGGUGCAAAUGCAUCACUAAGAGAUGGACCUGCGUUGUAUUAGCUAGUUGGUGAGGUAACGGCUCACCAAGGCGACGAUACAUAGCCGACCUGAGAGGGUGAUCGGCCACACUGGGACUGAGACACGGCCCAGACUCCUACGGGAGGCAGCAGUAGGGAAUCUUCGGCAAUGGGGGCAACCCUGACCGAGCAACGCCGCGUGAGUGAAGAAGGGUGUCGGAUCGUAAAGCUCUGUUGUAAGAGAAGAACGAGUGUGAGAGUGGAAAGUUCACACUGUGACGGUAACUUACCAGAAAGGGACGGCUAACAACGUG